AACUGGAGAGUUUGAUCCUGGCUCAGAACGAACGCUCGCGGCGUGCCUAACACAUGCAAGUCGUGCGAGAAAGCGGCCUUCGGGCCGUGAGUAAAGCGGCAGACGGGUGAGUAACACGUGGGUAACCUGUCCUCGAGUGGGGGAUAACCCGGGGAAACCCGGGCUAAUACCGCAUAACAUCGCCGAAUCCUCGGAUUCGGCGAUCAAAGCUGGGGAUCUUCGGACCUAGCGCUCGAGGAGGGGCCCGCGGCCGAUUAGCUUGUUGGUGGGGUAAUGGCCCACCAAGGCUGCGAUCGGUAGCCGGCCUGAGAGGGUGUCCGGCCACACUGGGACUGAGACACGGCCCAGACUCCUACGGGAGGCAGCAGUGAGGA
RNAcentral lists this ribosomal RNA (374 nucleotides) under Acidobacteriota bacterium. RNAcentral's name for it is "bacterial SSU rRNA". It matches the Rfam family "Bacterial small subunit ribosomal RNA", at positions 1 to 360 of the family's 1533-position model. The record is from RNAcentral. Lineage: Bacteria; Pseudomonadati; Acidobacteriota.